This 1302-nucleotide ribosomal RNA is filed under the name Akashiwo sanguinea. RNAcentral's name for it is "eukaryotic LSU rRNA". It matches the Rfam family "Eukaryotic large subunit ribosomal RNA", at positions 99 to 1422 of the family's 3401-position model. Lineage: Eukaryota; Dinophyceae; Gymnodiniales; Gymnodiniaceae. The record is from RNAcentral.
UGGGAUGAGCUCACCAUGGGAAUCGGGGUCUUCGACCUUGAAUUGUAGUCUUGAGACGCACCGCCAACAGAGGCGCAGGUGUAAGCCUCUUGGAAGAGAGCAUCGCGGAGGGUGAGAGUCCCGUCUGUCACCUGCAGUCCCCUGUGUACGGCAUGCGUUCUGAGAGUCACGUUCCUCGGGAUUGGAGCGCAAAUUGGGUGGUAAGUUUCACCUUAAGCUAAAUAUUGGUCCGAGACCGAUAGCAAACAAGUACCAUGAGGGAAAGGUGAAAAGGACUUUGAAAAGAGAGUUAAAAGUGCUUGAAAUUGCUGAAAGGGAAGCGAAUGGAACCAGUUCUGCUGGGCGAGAUUGUCGCAUGCCAAGGCCCUGUGCCGGCCGCAUGCGGUGCUUCUUGCCUUGUGUGUCAGCUGCGGUCCGAAGUUGGGGAAAACUCUGGGGACAUGGAUGCCAACCUCCGGGGGGGUGAAUGUGCCUGGCAAGACCCGUCCUUGGACUGUGAGCAGUGCUUCGGCAUGUUUGCGGUGCUGACGAAAUGCUUCUAUUCGACCCGUCUUGAAACACGGACCGAGGAGUCUAACAUGUGUGCGAGCUCACGGGUGUCAAACCUGCUUGCGCAAUGAAAGUGACUGCUGGGAUACUUGCACCAGCAACCGAUCUGUCAACUGAGAGAGAUUUGAGUUUGAGCAUACCUGUUAGGACCCGAAAGAUGGUGAACUAUGCUUGUGUAGGGCAAAGCCAGGGGAAACUCUGGUGGAGGCUCGUAGCGAUACUGACGUGCAAAUCGUUCGUCAAACAUGAGUAUAGGGGCGAAAGACUAAUCGAACCAUCUAGUAGCUGGUUCCCUCCGAAGUUUCCCUCAGGAUAGCUGGAGUCGAACAGUUUUAUCAGGUAAAGCGAAUGAUUAGAGGAAUCGGGGACGUGUUGUCCUCGACCUAUUCUCAAACUUUAAAUGGGUAAGAUCUAAUAGUUGCUUCAUUGAACUGUUGGGGUAAAUGUGGACUCUAAGUGGGCCAUUUUUGGUAAGCAGAACUGGCGAUGAGGGAUGAACCUAACGUUGGGUUAAGGUGCUUAACUGCUCGCUCAUCAGAUACCAUAAAGGGUGUUGGUUCAUUUUAACAGCAGGACGGUGGUCAUGGAAGUCGAAAUCCGCUAAGGAGUGUGUAACAACUCACCUGCCGAAUGGACUAGCCCCGAAAAUGGAUGGCGCUCAAGCGGGUGACUGAUACCCAACCAUUGUUGCAAUUGUGCGGCAUCAAUGAGUAGGAGGGCAUGGGGGCCUGUGAUGAUGCUUUUGGCGUAAGC